This 327-nucleotide ribosomal RNA is filed under the name uncultured eukaryote. RNAcentral describes it as "partial 18S ribosomal RNA". It matches the Rfam family "Eukaryotic small subunit ribosomal RNA", at positions 1470 to 1796 of the family's 1831-position model. The record is from RNAcentral.
CCCUUAGAUGUUCUGGGCCGCACACGCGCUACACUGAAGGAGGCAGCGUGUACUCCUGGAUCGAAAGAUUUGGAUAACCCGCGAAUCUCCUUCGUGCUAGGGAUUGAGGUUUGCAAUUAUCCUUCAUGAACGAGGAAUUCCCAGUAAGUGCAAGUCAUAAGCUUGCGCUGACUACGUCCCUGCCCUUUGUACACACCGCCCGUCGCUACUACCGAUUGAAUGAUUUAGUGAGGACUUCGGACUGGGACCGAUGCGGCUUUCGGGCUGCGUCGGUAUUCUGGAAAGAUGUCCAAACUGUAUCAUUUAGAGGAAGUAAAAGUCGUAACA